This 425-nucleotide ribosomal RNA is filed under the name uncultured bacterium. Its description in RNAcentral is "bacterial SSU rRNA". It matches the Rfam family "Bacterial small subunit ribosomal RNA", at positions 29 to 455 of the family's 1533-position model. The record is from RNAcentral.
AUUGAACGCUGGCGGCAUGCUUUACACAUGCAAGUCGAGCGGCAGCGCGGGGGCAACCCUGGCGGCGAGCGGCGAACGGGUGAGUAAUGCAUCGGAACGUAUCCUGUAGUGGGGAAUAACUCACCGAAAGGUGAGCUAAUACCGCAUAAGCUCUGAGGAGGAAAGCGGGGGACCGAAAGGCCUCGCGCUGCAGGAGCGGCCGAUGUCCGAUUAGCUAGUUGGUGAGGUAAAGGCUCACCAAGGCGACGAUCGGUAGCUGGUCUGAGAGGAUGAUCAGCCACACUGGGACUGAGACACGGCCCAGACUCCUACGGGAGGCAGCAGUGGGGAAUUUUGGACAAUGGGGGAAACCCUGAUCCAGCCAUGCCGCGUGAGUGAAGAAGGCCUCGGGUUGUAAGUACUCUUUCGGUACGGAACGAAAUUAG